CAUUAAAAAGCUUAAAGUAAGUGUUGAUCUUUUAAAUCAAUUAUGAUAAGAUCGCCUAUCUUUAAUGAAAGCUAGUUUAGCUUAAUUC
Molecule: transfer RNA, 88 nt
Filed under: Bemisia tabaci
Lineage: Eukaryota; Metazoa; Arthropoda; Insecta; Hemiptera; Aleyrodidae
Description: tRNA-Lys
Source: RNAcentral